CGCCAGACUCCUACGGGAGGCAGCAGUGGGGAAUAUUGCACAAUGGGGGAAACCCUGAUGCAGCGACGCCGCGUGAGUGAAGAAGUAUUUCGGUAUGUAAAGCUCUAUCAGCAGGGAAGAAAAUGACGGUACCUGACUAAGAAGCCCCGGCUAACUACGUGCCAGCAGCCGCGGUAAUACGUAGGGGGCAAGCGUUAUCCGGAUUUACUGGGUGUAAAGGGAGCGUAGACGGUAAUGCAAGUCUGGAGUGAAAUGCAGGGGCUCAACCCCUGAACUGCUUUGGAAACUGUAUGACUGGAGUGCAGGAGAGGUAAGUGGAAUUCCUAGUGUAGCGGUGAAAUGCGUAGAUAUUAGGAGGAACACCAGUGGCGAAGGCGGCCUGCUGGGCUUUAACUGACGCUGAGGCUCGAAAGCGUGGGGAGCAAACAGGAUUAGAUACCCCCGUA
Molecule: ribosomal RNA, 446 nt
Filed under: uncultured bacterium
Lineage: Bacteria
Description: bacterial SSU rRNA
Rfam family: Bacterial small subunit ribosomal RNA
Source: RNAcentral